This is a long non-coding RNA of Ictalurus punctatus (channel catfish), 3348 nucleotides long. RefSeq lists it as uncharacterized. The transcript is spliced from 5 exons. The record is from RefSeq and is a predicted model, not a curated record. NCBI's taxonomy places the organism in Eukaryota, Metazoa, Chordata, Actinopteri, Siluriformes, Ictaluridae.
CACAUCUGUUUACAUGUUUUCACAUCAAGGCUACUUUGGUGACAGUUUGUUAGCUAAAUUAUAUAGCAUGAUACAUAUCCCUGCUUGAGUGUGCGGGCAUACUUGGCUAAUAAAACUGAUUCUGAAUCUGAUUCAGAAAAAUGGCAGUGAUCCGUACGAAAGCCGAAGGAAUCGACUCUUAUUGAAGAGCUGAGCCAAAGGAUUCGGUUCACUUAAAAGAGCCAGUGCUUUCCAUCACUGAAGGAAGUGAAGUGCGCGGUGAAAAAGCAUCAUAAUGGACGCUACAGUGGCAUAGGGUGAGGUUGUGGGGAGGCUGCCCCAUGUGCUCUUCUGUGUGGAGUGUCUCUGCUCUCUGGAGUGUCCUCAGGACUCCAUCUCUGUCCCCUCAGCUGUCCCGACUGUAGGGUGAGCACUGUUCACAACUCCUGUCCAUGCAGCCAUCACUCCCUUACUGCGCUACAGCAGGUCAACCAGCUUUCACAACUCUUUUUAUGGGAAAGUAGCUAAAGCAUGCUCAAUUUGUCACCAGAUGACACCAUAGACUAUUUUUAAAAAAAAAAUUACUUAUGAUAUGGCAAUGAAUAUUACUAACUAGUUUUUAAAAAGAAAGCGAGGCAGAUAGGGUGCCGAUACUUGUAGAGUUGCAUAGAUAUAUCAUGAACAUGCACAUUUUUUAACGUGUUUACAAAUGAAGACGGCAGGCAAAGUCGUGAAAGGUGAGUAGUCUGAAGGAAAUGGUUACUCGUUUGUAAGUAUCAACAAGAAAAGUGUUUAAAAUGAAGAACUAUGGGACAGUAAAGUUAUUAAAACAUAACUUUCUCAGAAUUACUAAGUAGAUAACACUAGUUGGUCAUUACUACACCCCAUAACGUUAGAUAAGUAUGUCUGAGUUUAGUAUUUAUGCAGACCUUUUAUAUAUUUUUUUAUUCCUCCACCACUAAGUCUGUCCAUCCAUUUAAGGUUUUCGUUAAUGCAAUAUCUCAAGAACCAGUGGUUGAAUGUUUGUAGGAAUUCUAUAGACUAUAUAGUUGUUGUAACUAGCAGAUGACUCGAUUAUUAUUUGGAAUUGAUCCAAAAAUAAACGAGGUCACAGCAGUUUCAUGUUUAGGAACUCAAGGCCCUUUAUUGUUUUUUUUUGGCUAGCUACGGUUUUGCCAUCAUUCCAUGCUUCUGUGCGUCCUUGCUUUUGCAUGAGAUUCUUGUUUAGUGUGACAUCUCAAGAACGAAAGGUUGAAUGUUUUAUAGUGUAGCAGCAGCGGCAGGUGGAACACAGACAGAGUGAGACUGGUUAAGAGAGCUUUUAUUUUGUAGCAUGGGAGUGCAGAAGGAUUAUGGGACACUCUGUCCUGGGGAAGCAGUCUGUGAGGGAGGUGUUAGAGAGGAGUGUGGUCGCUAUGGGCCAGGCAGAGCGGUGUAGGCUGGUAGCAGAGUGCGAAGGCAGCGUAGGUAGUGGGGGUGAGGGCUCUUGGGGGGGAGAGACUUGCUGUCGUCAUCGUCAUCUGCAAGACAUAGAACAGAAUUGAUCAGCAUAGACAUGUAGACAAAAGCUGCUCAAGCUGCUGAGGUUGUGAUGCCUUUUUAUCCUCUCCAGUCUUCUCUGAGAGGGUGAGGAGUUGCAGUGUUAAUCUACCGCAAGUUGUGCUCUAUUUCCCCACCUCAUGCUCUGCGGCAGUCGACAACAGUGAUGCUGAAAUGACUGUCUGUUCAGCACCCAGGUGGCAGUAGUGUGAGGAGCAUUUUUCACCUCUUCAACAGGUUCAUGUGGUUCCUGUACGUUUCUGCUCGCUUAUCGGCUGCUGCAGGCGUUAUCGUCAGCUGCUGGAGGCUGGCCUCCAUUAGUUGCUGCAGCAUGGAAUCCAUGUUUUUAUUUUUAAAUUUUUUAUUAUUAUUAUAUUUUUUUUCCUUUAUUUUUUUAUUUGGCCAGGUCUGUGCUCAUUCCCGCAUCCUUCACCAGACUUACAAAUGAGAAAAUACAAAAUACAAGCAAAGCAAUAUAUCAAGCAGAGAACACUGCAAGUAGUGCUACAAUAGAAGAUUUUUAAUUGAGUUCUAGAAGAUGCAAAAAUGUAAUCAGCCCUGAGAUUCUAACCAGCGACCUUGGCGUUCUUAACACCACGCACUAACUAACUGAGCUACAUUGCCACAUAUAUAAUAUAUCAUAAUAGUUUCGAAGAGAAUUUUUAAGCGAAUAUUUGUAAGUGUCCAAAAUUAUAUGGAGGGAGCUCUGUGCAGCGGGGAAAGCACUCAAACAUUGCCCGGGGAGGGAGCGUCAUGUCGCACAGACUCUGGCCAGCUCCAGGCCGAUCAUCGCUGAUUUUUUCCCAGGGCGUUGAAGAGUUACCAUUGAUGAAAUUGUUACUUUACAUUUAUUUGGUAAAAAGCUUAGACUUUUCCGGAACAUUCAGCCUUUAGGGGCGAUUAAGAGUUCCCGGAUAGCAAGCACAUUAGGCCGAUUCUGGUAGAAAUGCGCGACUGUCGGCUCAAUGCCGGUAUCGGUGAAAAGGUAAUUGCCCAGAGCCCUGCUGACCGUUCACACCACUUCUCGUUGACAGACGGUUUUUGCUAUGUGGGCCAAUCUCGGCUGAAAGCAGGUGUAAUUGCGGCAGGUCCAUACUCGGUGUAGCGGUGUGUAUCUGCUUUUUCGAGUUCGUUAAGUCACAGACGGGCCACAGCUAAAAUUAAGGAGCUCAGCCGCCUGGAAAAAACUUUUGACGGUUAAAUCAGUUAGGAUACUCGAGGCUGCAGUCAUUCUUCAUUUUCAAGAGGAAUCUUUUCAGCUGAAGAAGACAGUGAUAAAGAGGGCAGGACCCGGUCAGACCUCCAGUCAGACGUCGAAGUGUCUGGGUAAAGACCAUCAAGGUGUAAAACAUGCAGAUAUUUGUUCAGCACAUCGCUAUUGCUAUUCCUUGAUGCUUUGAGAGCAUAUUCAAAGUUGUAUUUUUCAUGAAACAUUGUAGAAUUUGGCAAUAUAGUCAAUAUUUUACACUCUUACAGAGAUUCUGCAGAACUGGCAGCCGAUGGACGAUAUGCCGUGUGAGCGUAUUCUUCUGCUUUCUGAUUGACUUUCUUUGCCAUGCUGAGGGAGGUGUUGACUAAAUUAGAGAUGGUGCUGGACCAACAAAUCACUGAGAUUGCUUCAACUACAGGAGGUCCAGCUGCAGCCUUUGGAUAUUGAUGAAGAUUUACUGCCCCUGCAAGACCUUCCUCAACUGCGUAGUCUGGAGCGAAGGAUGCAACAGAGCCCAGAUUACAAGCAAGAUCUGUUCAUAGAAACCUCUUUACGCCUAAAGCUGCAGCGAUGGAGGUCGAGGGGACCAUGAAGAGGUGGCUCCAGCUGGCAUCAGAUCA